This is a long non-coding RNA of Peromyscus californicus insignis, 1110 nucleotides long. RefSeq lists it as uncharacterized. Lineage: Eukaryota; Metazoa; Chordata; Mammalia; Rodentia; Cricetidae. The record is from RefSeq and is a predicted model, not a curated record. The transcript has 3 exons.
GCUCCCAAAGAAUCCUGCUAGGAUUGCGGGGCUGGUGCCACCAGACUGCAUCCCUCUCCAGACAGCACAGCAGAGGAGGUGUCAUAUGCAUGAUGAUGAGCAUUUGGAAGGCUGAGGACAACUUGCAGGGCUCACAUCUACCGUGCGGCUUCUGGGGAUUGAACGCCUGCCUUUAGGCUUGGGAGCAGGAGUCUUUCUUUACUGACUGAGCCGUAUCACCGCCAACCCCAAGCAAUUCUUUUGAGCAGUGCAAAGUUCAAACCUCUUGUGAUCCGAUUGUUAGCUGUUCGGUGAACAGUAUGUAAGGAGUUGGGGAGGAGGGAAUUCAGCUCCUUAGUGAUAUGCUGCUUUUUCUUUUCUUAGAACAGGUUGACCUCAAAUUCCUAACCCUUCAGAUCCUUCUGCCUCAUUGUUUGGGGACUGCUGGGAUUACAGAUGUGACAGUCUCUCCUUUGAAGCUGGUUUCACUUGCCAGUUUUCCUGGUUUUCUGAGGUCUCAGACUCUCCUCCACCUGAAAGGAAGAUGUUCCUGGUAUCGCUCCCAGUUCAACGGACCUAGAUAGGUCCUGGUCCUAGGAACUUCACGUUCAUUUUUCUGGAGACUGAGUCAGCCUCGGAGUCCAGAAUAAAAGAAGGCCUGCUUUAAAAUCUGUCCCAGAACAUGACGUGACAGAGCACACCUGUAAUCUCAGUGUAGGAAUCCAGCUCAGCUGGGGAGGGGCCUCGGCCGAGAGGAGUUUAGCGGGGAGAAGGUUUUCUCACACGAAAACCUCCUAAACCACCCGAGCUGUGGGGCUGGGUGGAGGAGACUCAGCAGGUGUGGGGCGGGGAGGUAAGUUGACCCUUGGUCUGCGGCCGCGCCCACGAGGAACGCAUUCCCAGGCCUCCCGCCCAAGGUCUGCAGGUGACAGGCUCAUGGGAGGGGGGGCCAAGCGGAGAAUGCUCCGGCCCAGUUUGCCGUCUCCAUGGCGACCGCCCGCGCGGCGCCAGCUUGACAGCCCGUCCGGGUUUUAUGAAUGGGUGACGUCACGGGCCUGGCGUCUAACGGUCUGAGCCGCUUGUUCAGACGCUGACACAGACCAGCCCGGGAAAGGAAAGGGAGGGGGUGAU